RNAcentral lists this ribosomal RNA (535 nucleotides) under uncultured Micromonas. Its description in RNAcentral is "bacterial SSU rRNA". It matches the Rfam family "Bacterial small subunit ribosomal RNA", at positions 76 to 645 of the family's 1533-position model. Lineage: Eukaryota; Viridiplantae; Chlorophyta; Mamiellophyceae; Mamiellales. The record is from RNAcentral.
GUCUUCGGACUGCGGAAGAGUGGCGAACGGGUGAGGAACACGUAAGAAUCUGCCCCUCGGUCGGGGACAACUCUUGGAAACGAGAGCUAAUACCCGAUACGCUGUGGAGUGAAAGAAUUUCGCCGAGGGAUGAUCUUGCGUCUGAUUAGCUAGUUGGUGUGGUAACUGCACACCAAGGCGACGAUCAGUAGCUGGUCUGAGAGGAUGGACAGCCACAUUGGAACUGAGACACGGUCCAAACUCCUACGGGAGGCAGCAGUGGGGAAUUUUCCGCAAUGGACGAAAGUCUGACGGAGCGACGCUGCGUGAAGGAUGACGGCCCGCGGGUUGUAAACUUCUUUUCUCGAAGAAGAAACAAAUGACGGUAUUCGAGGAAUAAGCAUCGGCUAACUCCGUGCCAGCAGCCGCGGUAAGACGGAGGAUGCAAGUGUUAUUCGGAAUGAUUGGGCGUAAAGAGUCUGUAGGCUGUAUAGAAAGUCUUUUGUUAAAUUCCUCGGCUCAACCGAGAUCAAGCAAAGGAAACUUCUAUACUUGA